This is a long non-coding RNA of Ictalurus punctatus (channel catfish), 2770 nucleotides long. RefSeq lists it as uncharacterized. Lineage: Eukaryota; Metazoa; Chordata; Actinopteri; Siluriformes; Ictaluridae. The record is from RefSeq and is a predicted model, not a curated record. The transcript is spliced from 2 exons.
AGACUGAGAUACGGAAGCGAAAACAAAAGAGCUAGAAGGAGAUGCGUAUCCGUAGCUUCGCUCUGCUCAGAGAUCAUUCAUCAGAGCGGGAGUUUUGCUUCACCGCUAUUCUGGGAGUGGAGAUUACACGGCUGAGGGGGCGGUCGCAAACGGUGCGAACAUCCGCUGAUGCUCAAGAAGGCAACACGAUGCGUAAAGAAAAGGGGAAGGGGGUGUAAACUUUUGCACAGGAUGAUCGGCGGGAACUGUUAUUAUUUUGUUUAAAGAUAAAUUUUUACCCCCAUUUCGUACUGUUCUUCAGAAGCUAUUUCCAUUUUUCCCCCAAUAGACAAAAUAAUAAUUUACAUUUAUGGUCAUCCUGUUCAAAAGUUUACACCCCCCUGGUGCUUAAUGUAUCGUGUUAUCUUCUCGAGCAUCGGUGAACGUUCGCACCUUGUGUAAUAGUCGUGCAUGAGACGAGUCCCUCAGUCGUCCUCGGCGUGAAAAGACGGAUCUCGACAUCAUAUAGUCGCUGUUUAAAGGAAAGGAGUCAGAUAUGUAGAAGAUGCUGGAAAAGUGAAGAAUGUGCCGGACCUGGAGGAUUUUUCUGAAGAACAGUGGGCAGUUUAACCGCUCAGGACGAACAAGGGACUCGUGAACAACUCUCACAAAACGUAAACACACCCAGCCCACAGCAGGGGAUGGUCAGCAGUCUCAGGAAGGCGAGCAGGGUUCGGAGGGGCAGUAAGGUGAACACGUAGAGGAACGCGUCGAGGCACAGGAAGCAGCCGAACAUCAUGAGCUGCGUGACAGAGAAGAACAGAAAUCUCACUUUGAUAGUUACAACACAGUCAAGUGGACAGAAUUAUUUGUAAAUAUCCAUCUAAUCAGCUUUCGGUAAGCGGAACGCCGAGUACGUAUGCGCCAAUAAUCACUUACAGGAAAUUGUGACAAUCAAAUCACAUACUUAUUAGAGAUCGACCGAUAUUUUCCCUCAAUAUUUAAGCAUUUUUCCAUAAUCGGUUACCGGCUUUUUAGUAUGGGAUCCAUCGAUAACCGGCGCCAUCUUGUGACCGUUUUGAGAAUUGCGUCUCAAACAGAAGUAAAACAAUACAUAAAUAAAUAACUAUCGGUUAUCGGGCACGUAAACAUGCAAAUAAUCGGAAUCCGUUAUAUAAAAAAAAAAUCUAUAUUGGUUGAUCUCUAAUACUUAUGCACUAUUCUACGCCAUUUUGUAGUAUAAAUAGUGCGAGUAGUGGGUUCACAAUGAAAAUUCCAACAAAUAGUAGUGCACUGCAAGUACCCGGAUGAUGCACCGAAAAAAAAAAACAAGUGUGAAUGUUGGACACUUCGCGCGCUCUUCGGUUGCUUACGUAGCAGAGACGUUAGAGGCUACCAGGGCCGCGAACACUGGAUGAGAAAACGUUUUCAAGAUGGCCGACGACAAGCCGGUGAAUAAGACUAGCGUUAGGUUUCCGAGCACACUGGAGCUUUCACUAGCUAAUACAUUUAUUUAUAACAUCUGCACCACAAACCUCACCUCUCAGCACAGCAUACACACUCCCUCCAUUCACCUGGGGAAUAACACAGGCACUUUCAAUUUGUGCGUAUGUGAUUGUAUCGUGGUGGUGGUGGAGUCGGGGGGGUUGGGGGCGGGGCAAUAAAACCAAAACAAGCUCCUUAGACUCGUACACAGUUUUAAAUACAGCUCAGAAAUGAUUAUGAAAAUCUAAGGAUUAUAUUAAUACUGAGGUUCGAGCUGGUUAUUAGUGAGUUUGUGGCUCUACUGCUCCAUCUAGUGGUAGUAAAUGCUCAUUACUUUCGCAUCACGAUGGAUUCGAAAGUGUUUUUUUUUUUGUUGCCUUUUUUUUUUUAAAACAGUUGUGAUGAAUAGUGUUGUUUUUAAUUACCUGACCCCUUAGAAUAAGAGUCUGAUAUGGACUGUAGAAACACACGACACUUAUGUUUACACAAACCUACAUUUCAAUGAAACAGUCGUUAUAUCCUUCGUCCUAUAACGUUUCCCCUACAGACUCCAAAACUCUUUCGCGUGUCCUGCGAUAGAGAUGAUAAUGCUCUGUACAGCAAGUUAUGAAGAUCAUUUACUUAUAACGUCACAUCCUGACGUGUCCUAAUCCAUUGGCGGAGGACUUGGAAAACUGGAGACACCUUCCAUGAAUGUUAAAUAAACGUCUCCGUACGGUAAACGUAUCAAACGUGUCCACGAUUUACACGUGGGUUCUUCAUCCGUUUAAUGUUGAGUUUGGAUUAUAUGGAGCGUCCGUACGCAUUUCCGUGGAGGAGCCGUUACUAUAGAAACAUUACCGUACACAUUAAUAGAAACCUUUGAUAUGAAUUACUGGUGAAAGUACAUUAAAGCUGCUGUUAAUCAAGAUUAAUCAACACCUUCGGACCAAUCAGAUUUGAGAAUUCAACAGCACUUUGAUAUAAAGUUAUUUCAUCUGCGUAAUUUGCCAAACUUGAAUGGAAAACGAAUGAAUAUAUUAGACGUUCAGAUGCUUUAUCUUAUCUUCUGUGCACUGUGCUCUUGAUUACACGUUGCAGUAAACACACACACACACAGAAAUGUCAUCGGGUAACGUAGUGUGUGUGUUUUUCUGUUCACUUUUAGCUCUCUAGAUUUAGUUUGAGUUUACUGAGUCAGCCCCAAAACUAUUGGCACCCCUAUUAAAGAUCUUUGUGGUUAAAUCUAACUCUGAAAUAUUAGAAAUACUUCAUCUUACUUUUAAUUCAAAUACUUUUAAUCGUUCCAAGUAAAUAAAAUAAAAAU